GUUUCCUCUUCAGAAAAAGAUCGUGCGUGUUAAUGGAUGACGGGAUUCUACGCUGGAGUGUGCCAUGUUGCUGCCACUCUGUCUCGCGAAGCAGAGGUCGCAGAGCCUUUCCGAGAAUCGCGAGUGUUGUCGCUUCUUUUCAUCAUCCAGGUGACGAGCCUACGCUUACCCAGGAUUUUUCGUUACUGACCCCGAGGACGUGACACCCGUGUUUCUAGGUUAAACGUAGCGAAUAUGGAAGCUCUGUUCUCUGGGUGCACACCGGGGUACCCAAGGGAUACGUGAACAUAUCUGUGUAUGUACAUCAGUAGCUUCUCAACCGCAUGUCGAGGCACGCGCAUGCAUAUUUGUGCAGCUAUUGAAGAACGCUGAUAUUGUUCACGGGACAGAAGUAAAAAGAACAGUGACUUUUGAGUCCUUGCAUGCUCAGCCCUCUGACACCACCCUCGCAUCGUUGUUGCCAACAUCGCACGGUAGGUCUCUCGCAGGUGGACACUCUCCGACCCAGGGGUUUUUCUGUCUGUCUUGGUUUACCAGAAAG
This 541-nucleotide long non-coding RNA is filed under the name Toxoplasma gondii VEG. Lineage: Eukaryota; Apicomplexa; Conoidasida; Eucoccidiorida; Sarcocystidae. The record is from RNAcentral.